GGGCAGUUAGCUCAGUUGGUAGAGCAUCUCGUUUACACCGAGGCGGUCGGGGGUUCAAGUCCCUCACUGCCCA
This 73-nucleotide transfer RNA is filed under the name Candidatus Melainabacteria bacterium. Its description in RNAcentral is "tRNA-Val". It matches the Rfam family "tRNA". From Rfam's summary of the family: Transfer RNA (tRNA) molecules are approximately 80 nucleotides in length. Their secondary structure includes four short double-helical elements and three loops (D, anti-codon, and T loops). Lineage: Bacteria; Bacillati; Candidatus Melainabacteria. The record is from RNAcentral.